This 665-nucleotide long non-coding RNA is filed under the name Rattus norvegicus (Norway rat). RNAcentral describes it as "long non-coding RNA NONRATT017409". The record is from RNAcentral. Lineage: Eukaryota; Metazoa; Chordata; Mammalia; Rodentia; Muridae.
GUGAUGAGUUUGAGAAGGACAGCCCUGACCAGUACUUAGCAGGAUUGCUGCACCUUGCUGAAAACAACAAAGGAAAAGUUGUAGCAAUAGGGGAGUGUGGACUUGAUUUUGACCGACUUCAGUUUUGUCCCAAAGAUACUCAACUCAAAUAUUUGAAAAACAAUUUGAAUUGUCAGAACAAACAAAAUUACCAAUGUUUCUUCAUUGUCGAAAUUCACAUACUGAGUUUUUUGGAUAUUGUGAGAAGAUAUAGAGAUCGGUAUGUGGGUGGAGUGGUGUAUUCAUUUGAUGGUACGAAGGAAGCAGCGGCUGCUUUGAUUGACUUGGACCUUUAUAUAGGAUUUAAUGGUUGCUCUCUGAAAACUGAAGCUAAUUUGGAAGUUCUGAAGUCAAUACCUAGUGAAAAACUAAUGAUUGAGACAGAUGCACCUUGAUAUGGAGUUAAAAGUACACAUGCUGCAUCAAAACACAUAAAAACCGCAUUUCCUACCAAAAAGAAGUGGAAAGCCGGGUGCUGUUUAAAAGACAGGAACAAGCCCUGCCACAUAGUUCAAAUAUUGGAGAUAAUGUCAGCAGUAAGUGAAGAAGAUCCACUGGAAUAUGCCAACACGCUGUAUAACAAAACCAUUAAAAUAUUCUUUUCCGGAAAAAAAAAUAGUUUAAAA